GUAAUCUCAAUGGAAAAGUGUAAUUCCGAGUCGCUCGUGUGCAAUUAAUUGUAAAUCUAAGCAUGUGUUUUUCGCUACGGGAAUUGCCUAUAAGGACCAUGAAUUUUCUACUGGACGAGCAGCAGAAUCGAAGCAGUCUUUGAGGACAAUAGUUUCGUUGUAAACGUGUGCUCCGAUGUUAAUAUUUAAAGGUGUUCGGUGUGCGGUUUGGAUUUGUCUGAACAAAAAGAACCGUUAAAAAAACGGAAGAUCUUUCAUGGCCACCGCUAUGAUGAUUGUUUUGCUGUGAUCGCUGUGAUCGCUGUGAUUGGCUUCCUUUCCCCUGUGCGCGCGGUUGACGUCCGCCAAAUGUGAUGCUGUCCGCGCCUGGCAAUAACGGCCCGGGAAAAAUUUAUCGUUACAAUGAGAUAUCUUACUUCCGGCAACGAUUAUGAUAGUUAGGAGUUAUCUUUCGGGAUUUCAAGACAAUCCAUUUCUUUGUUCAUUCCUGAAGUGCGCUGUGCGUCAGUUUAAUCAUCGUCCUUCGCGAUUACAUAAAGGUACUGUAUUUAUUAUUUUAUUAUUUAUGAUGGUAGCAGCAUCAACUAGCCGUUCGACUGGACCAUACGUUUUCACUGCGCUCAGCCGAUCUGCGCGGUUCAGGGUAAAUGUCGUGUUCUAUUUGCUUGUCAUACUAGAGCCUUGAUGUUAUAGUGUUGCUUUAGCAAUAUCAAAGAUACUUUGGCUAGCAGCGCUAGGUUUGUGCAUACAACAAUUCUUUAUAACGUCAUUGAAACCCUAGGAAACGUUUUCACUUGACGCGAUGUAAAACAUCUUUCUCCUACGCCCAAGAUAUGCCGAAACGUAAAGACACUGUAUUUUUCGUUUGUAUCGGGUAUUUCAGUCCAUUUGUCUAUUUAUUUUCGCGAAAAUAUGAUGA
Anopheles aquasalis is the source of this 919-nucleotide long non-coding RNA. RefSeq lists it as uncharacterized. NCBI's taxonomy places the organism in Eukaryota, Metazoa, Arthropoda, Insecta, Diptera, Culicidae. The record is from RefSeq and is a predicted model, not a curated record.